AGCUCCAAUAGCGUAUAUUAAAGUUGUUGCCGUUAAAAAGCUCGUAGUCGAACUUCGGCUCCUGUUGGUCGGUCCGCCUUCUUGGUGUGUACUUAUCGAACGGGAGCUUACCUCCUCGUGAACUGCCAUGUCCUUUACUGGGUGUGGCAGCGAACGAGGACGUUUACUUUGAAAAAAUUAGAGUGCUCAAAGCAGGCCUGUGCCCGAAUACAUUAGCAUGGAAUAAUAGAAUAGGACGCGCGUUCCCAUUUUGUUGGUUUCUGAGAUCGCCGUAAUGAUUAAUAGGGAUAGUUGGGGGCAUUUGUAUUCCGUCGUCAGAGGUGAAAUUCUUGGAUUGCCGGAAGACAAACUACUGCGAAAGCAUUUGCCAAGGAUGUUUUCA
RNAcentral lists this ribosomal RNA (382 nucleotides) under uncultured eukaryote. RNAcentral describes it as "SSU rRNA". It matches the Rfam family "Eukaryotic small subunit ribosomal RNA", at positions 587 to 972 of the family's 1831-position model. The record is from RNAcentral.